GAGUUUGAUCCUGGCUCAGAUUGAACGCUGGCGGCAUGCCUUACACAUGCAAGUCGAACGGCAGCACGGGAGCUUGCUCCUGGUGGCGAGUGGCGAACGGGUGAGUAAUGCAUCGGAACGUAUCCUGGAGUGGGGGAUAACGUAGCGAAAGUUACGCUAAUACCGCAUAUUCUGUGAGCAGGAAAGCGGGGGACCUUCGGGCCUCGCGCUCUUGGAGCGGCCGAUGUCGGAUUAGCUAGUUGGUGAGGUAAAGGCUCACCAAGGCGACGAUCCGUAGCAGGUCUGAGAGGAUGAUCUGCCACACUGGAACUGAGACACGGUCCAGACUCCUACGGGAGGCAGCAGUGGGGAAUUUUGGACAAUGGGGGCAACCCUGAUCCAGCCAUGCCGCGUGAGUGAAGAAGGCCUGUGUAGAGU
This 417-nucleotide ribosomal RNA is filed under the name bacterium enrichment culture clone ALO1_GLFRUDD03G3ZCX. RNAcentral describes it as "bacterial SSU rRNA". It matches the Rfam family "Bacterial small subunit ribosomal RNA", at positions 9 to 431 of the family's 1533-position model. The record is from RNAcentral.